CCUACGGGUGGCAGCAGUAGGGGAUAUUGCUCAAUGGGGGAAACCCUGAAGCAGUAACGCCGCGUGGGGGAUGAAGGGUUUCGGAUUGUAAACUCCUUUUGUUAGAGAAGAUAAUGACGGUAUCUAACGAAUAAGCACCGGCUAACUCCGUGCCAGCAGCCGCGGUAAUACGGAGGGUGCAAGCGUUACUCGGAAUCACUGGGCGUAAAGGGUGCGUAGGCGGGAAAGCAAGUCAGAUGUGAAAGCCUAGGGCUUAACCAUAGAACUGCAUUUGAAACUGUUAUGCUAGAGUAUGGGAGGGGUAGGUGGAAUUCUUGGUGUAGGGGUAAAAUCCGUAGAGAUUAAGAGGAAUACUCAUGGCGAAGGCGACCUGCUAGAAUAUAACUGACGUUGAUGCGCGAAGGCGUGGGGAGCAAACAGGAUUAGAUACCCUAGUAGUC
This 440-nucleotide ribosomal RNA is filed under the name uncultured bacterium. RNAcentral describes it as "partial 16S ribosomal RNA". It matches the Rfam family "Bacterial small subunit ribosomal RNA", at positions 338 to 795 of the family's 1533-position model. The record is from RNAcentral.